Long non-coding RNA from Pygocentrus nattereri (red-bellied piranha), 725 nucleotides. RefSeq lists it as uncharacterized. The transcript has 2 exons. NCBI's taxonomy places the organism in Eukaryota, Metazoa, Chordata, Actinopteri, Characiformes, Serrasalmidae. The record is from RefSeq and is a predicted model, not a curated record.
AGAAGAACGCGGUUGUAACGGGCGCGCGUGCUGCUCGCUGUGCGCGCGGGGUUUUGUGAAGAAGGACCGAAUUAAAUUCAUUAUUUAAAAAAAAUUCUGGUCUUAUCAACAUAUAAAAAGCAGAGGUUUGUGUUGUGUGCCGUGUUAGUGUGACACGCUUUCAUUGCGAAGGCUUCCAGUAAAUACUGGGUGAUUUAAGGGGGAUCAGAUCACAUCUCAUCUCAUUUUCUCCACUGAAGGGACACUUCUCCAUGAGAGGAGCACCUACUGGCCACUUCGUGUUCUCCCAGCUGCAGAGGUACCCAAUACAGCACUGCACCCAAUUUUAUCUACUGCAAAGUGCACAAUUUGGGACACUCCCCUGUGGGGAUAUUUUCUAAUGAGAGGUGGCUACCCCAAACCCUAACCCAGUGGUCUGCGACCCUGGACUCCUGGAGAUUCCAUGCUUAUCUCUAAUUCAUCUGAUCCAUCUUUGGGAAGAGAUUGAGCAGCAGGUGUGGCAAAUCGUGGUAGCAACUAGGAUCUGCAUGAACGUAGCUCUUCAGGAUCAGAGCUGGAGACCUCUUCCUAAGCCCUAAAUUUCCAUUUUGUGAAAAUUAUGCUUACAUUUUUUGUUUGUUUUUUCUGGGCAUCUUAUCACGUUUACACUAAUAAAUAUCAAACAAUUGUACUGACCAUUUACUUAUGUCCCAUUAUGUACUAUUAAAGGGUCCAUUUCCUACAUC